CUCCUCUGAGGCUUAUGGAGCUCUUGAAUAGUCUCCCCUGAAGCUUAUGGAGCUCUCGAAUAGCCUCCCCUUAAUCGAGGCUCGACUCCUUUCUCUAGAGCCCUCGAACAAAGUACACCCUUUGUUCAACACUU
This is a long non-coding RNA of Cucurbita maxima (winter squash), 134 nucleotides long. RefSeq lists it as uncharacterized. The transcript has 3 exons. Lineage: Eukaryota; Viridiplantae; Streptophyta; Magnoliopsida; Cucurbitales; Cucurbitaceae. The record is from RefSeq and is a predicted model, not a curated record.